Megalopta genalis is the source of this 1862-nucleotide RNA transcript. It is a transcript of the gene named sarcoglycan beta, with no coding region annotated. NCBI's taxonomy places the organism in Eukaryota, Metazoa, Arthropoda, Insecta, Hymenoptera, Halictidae. The record is from RefSeq and is a predicted model, not a curated record.
AAUCUGUGAUUUUCAGUAAAAAUUGACAGAGGAGCAUGUAUAAAAAUUCGAACGAAGUCCCCCGAAAUCCCAAGCAUCGAUCCCUGGACGCGCAAGCGCCGGCCGGCGGAUUUCACCUAGUUUUCGUGACACGGCUCGUGCGUUCGUACAGGAGCGAACUAUCGCCGCUCUAUUUUCGUUUUCGUCCAGUAUUACGGCAGCGAUUCUGGCUGGGGUAAGAAUUUCCUGCCGAAAGUCCGCGGACAAACGUCAUCCGCGCAUUUCAGUUUCCCGAAAGAAGUAAACCCUAACAUGCCAGGACACUCGAACACCCUACACAAUUUAUAACAUUAUUAAUCGCGACACUUACAACGAAUUGUGGAAAGUAACAAAAGAUUAUUUACAAUUAUAUUUAUUUCCACAGGCCCAUGGAAACACUAGACACAGAAAAAUAUUGUUUAUUUACGUAGCAAUGACUGAUAACUGAUCCUUUAUACAGAGUGUCUUGAUAUACAAGAACAAGCUCGAUAGUCAAAUUUUUGGAAGAUUUGUCUGUGAUUUUCUCUGUACACGCAGUACGAUAGUUCAAUGUCCGUCCUCCUCGAUGCAUGUGGCAAUGACACUGGCUCGAUAUCGAAGGCUGAGGAUAACUUGUCGAACAGCGAUGGACCUCUGAUCAAGGGCUACAUCCAGCAGAACAAUUGCAAUAGUGUCAGAGCAAGUUCUGAGAACGUGAACCGGACGAUGACCGGUUCUUCCCUCGUGAUGUCGACUUCCAACGAGAAGCCAACGAAGCGACGUUACUGCCUGUGGACGUUGACACUGGUCCUGGCGAUAAUUGGCCUCUGCAAUCUCUUCCUCAACAUCACCGUGAUAGCCGUUCUGCGAAUUAGUCAGGGAAUGGAGGCAAUGGAAGUAAUACCUGACGAGAAUCUCGUGAAAUUUUAUGGAAAAACUGACUUGGACAGUGUGUGCCUACAGUCGGAGGUUUGUCAAGGCUAUGGGGACGAGCCAAUGGAGGUUUCCGGAGAUGAGGGCGGUGUCCAAAUUAAAGUGCACGACCGUAGAGUCCACGACGAACCCAGUACAAAAGUAACAAUCCUACCAAAUGGUACCGCCUGGUCUCAGGUCGAGUCCUUUGAGAUCAAGGACCCUAGAACCGGAGCUAUCUACUUCACCACCGACUUCCCCAACUUCAGUUUGCCGGCGGGCGUCAAGAAAAUUGAUGUGAAGAUCGCAGAGACAUACAGAAUCACGUCGCCGGUUAACGAGAGCCUGACGGUGAGCUCCGACGAUCAGAUUUCCAUGCAUGGCGCUGAAGGCGCUACGAUGGAAAGCAAGGACAUCGUUUGGAGCGCUGAUACAGACAUUUUGUUGAAGAGCGUCAACGGUAGCAUCAUUCUAGACGCUGCUGACGGUAUUUCCAUUGAUGUGGACAAUAUUCCUGUCGCGCCAUUGUUUUUACAGAAUCCUAGCCACGAAUAUAAAGUUUGCGUGUGCAUGCCUCAAGGGAAACUGUUCAAGGUGCCGGUUCGAUCCGGCAACGGCAGCACAUUUGUUAACUGCGCUCGUGUCAGUAGAACCCCGGAGAACGAUCCUUGCUCACGAUAGGAUCAAGAAAAGGCUGUUAUGAUUUAAAAUUUUGAUUAUUCGUCGUGUCCAGCACUGUCGACAAGCAAGCAUAAGGUUGGUUAAGACUGUCACACAGGCCUCUAAUCGUCACGUACAAUACCACACAAAAUUACACGGAGUCAACGCAUCUGCACUAAUUAGAUUACUGUUCAUAGAAAGUUCGUGAAUUAGUAAAUUCGUAUGCAAUACUGAAUACAUUAUCUUUUGUAUCAGAUAAGAAGAUUAUGAAUAAACCAUCAUUGUAGAAAAUA